RNAcentral lists this transfer RNA (72 nucleotides) under Nitellopsis obtusa. RNAcentral describes it as "tRNA-Gln". It matches the Rfam family "tRNA". Rfam says of the family: Transfer RNA (tRNA) molecules are approximately 80 nucleotides in length. Their secondary structure includes four short double-helical elements and three loops (D, anti-codon, and T loops). Further hydrogen bonds mediate the characteristic L-shaped molecular structure. tRNAs have two regions of fundamental functional importance: the anti-codon, which is responsible for specific mRNA codon recognition, and the 3' end, to which the tRNAs corresponding amino acid is attached (by aminoacyl-tRNA synthetases). tRNAs cope with the degeneracy of the genetic code in two manners: having more than one tRNA (with a specific anti-codon) for a particular amino acid; and 'wobble' base-pairing, i.e. permitting non-standard base-pairing at the 3rd anti-codon position. The record is from RNAcentral. Lineage: Eukaryota; Viridiplantae; Streptophyta; Charophyceae; Charales; Characeae.
UGGGGUAUAGCCAAGUGGUAAGGCAACGGGUUUUGGCCCUGUGAUUCGGAGGUUCGAGUCCUUCUACCCCAG